GUGGAUGAUGUGGUUUAAUUCGAUGCAACGCGAAAAACCUUACCCACCUUUGACAUGUACGGAAGUUACCAGAGAUGGUUUCGUGCUCGAAAGAGAACCGUAACACAGGUGCUGCAUGGCUGUCGUCAGCUCGUGUCGUGAGAUGUUGGGUUAAGUCCCGCAACGAGCGCAACCCUUGUCAUUAGUUGCUACGAAAGGGCACUCUAAUGAGACUGCCGGUGACAAACCGGAGGAAGGUGGGGAUGACGUCAAGUCCUCAUGGCCCUUAUAGGUGGGGCUACACACGUCAUACAAUGGCUGGUACAGAGGGUUGCCAACCCGCGAGGGGGAGCUAAUCCCAUAAAACCAGUCGUAGUCCGGAUCGCAGUCUGCAACUCGACUGCGUGAAGUCGGAAUCGCUAGUAAUCGCGGAUCAGAAUGUCGCGGUGAAUACGUUCCCGGGUCUUGUACACACCGCCCGUCACA
This 465-nucleotide ribosomal RNA is filed under the name uncultured Burkholderiales bacterium. RNAcentral's name for it is "bacterial SSU rRNA". It matches the Rfam family "Bacterial small subunit ribosomal RNA", at positions 932 to 1401 of the family's 1533-position model. Lineage: Bacteria; Pseudomonadati; Pseudomonadota; Betaproteobacteria; Burkholderiales. The record is from RNAcentral.